GAGUUUGAUCAUGGCUCAGAUUGAACGCUGGCGGCAGGCCUAACACAUGCAAGUCGAGCGGUAACAGAGAGAAGCUUGCUUCUUUGCUGACGAGCGGCGGACGGGUGAGUAAUACUUGGGAACUUGCCUCUAGGCGGGGGAAUAAUUAAAGGAUAACGGUGGCUAAUACCGCAUAAUGUCUACGGACCAAAGUGGGGGACCUUCGGGCCUCACACCUAGAGAUGGGCCCAAGCGGGAUUAGCUAGUUGGUAAGGUAACGGCUUACCAAGGCGACGAUCCCUAGCUGUUCUGAGAGGAUGAUCAGCCACACUGGGACUGAGACACGGCCCAGACUCCUACGGGAAGGCAGCAGUGGGGAUUUUGGAACAUGGGGGCAACCCCUGAUCCAGCCAUGCCGCGUGUGUGAAGAAAGGCCCUCCGGGUGGAAAGCCACUUCCGUGGUGGAGGAAAGGGGAAAGUUUAAAAGCCUUUCACAGUGGACUUUAGCCCCAGAAAAAACCCCGGUUAAUUCGUGCCGCAGCGCGGUUACCCGAGGUGCAGCCUUAUACGGAUUUUGGGCUA
Molecule: ribosomal RNA, 561 nt
Filed under: uncultured Gammaproteobacteria bacterium
Lineage: Bacteria; Pseudomonadati; Pseudomonadota; Gammaproteobacteria
Description: bacterial SSU rRNA
Rfam family: Bacterial small subunit ribosomal RNA
Source: RNAcentral